Long non-coding RNA from Scleropages formosus (Asian bonytongue), 716 nucleotides. RefSeq lists it as uncharacterized. The record is from RefSeq and is a predicted model, not a curated record. The transcript is spliced from 4 exons. NCBI's taxonomy places the organism in Eukaryota, Metazoa, Chordata, Actinopteri, Osteoglossiformes, Osteoglossidae.
GGUGAAGAAUGUAGGGGUGGCUGGUUGUGACACUGCGCUCAAAAGUGUGUGAUGCAUCCUCGCCAUUAGGAGAUUGUGUCUGAACCAUUGAGGAGCACAGAGCUGACAGCUGAUCUACUGUAAAAUGUUCAAUAACAAUCCAGGAAAUUAUCUUCCAGGCACCUAUGUGCCACCCCAGGUGUUACCACCACCAGGGUCCUACCCUGGGGUUUGUCCCCCUGGAAUGGCUCAGUAUCCUGCAGUGAUGAACCCAUCCCUCGUUGGGCCUCCUGCAGGGUUCCCAGUCUAUGGCCCUGUAUACAACCCAUCACUUUGUGUAGAUGGGCACUGCUAUAGAGAGGGUCAUGGUCACCAUCAUGGCCACCAUCAUGGUCACCAUCAUGGCCAUCAUCAUGGCCACCACCAUGGCCACCAUCAUGGACACUGCUAAUGAAAAUGGGUGGCUUCUGUGUGUGAGCAGUCACUCAGAUUAGAGCAUCACUGAAGGUAUGAAAAAAGGACUCAUCUACCAAGGGACCAUCCAUUCCCAGACUCUUCUUUUCUUUUUAAAAUUUGUUUUCUGUCCUUUCAUUGCUGUUGUGGCAAUGUAAACAGUACUGUACUUAAUAUUUCAGAAAAACCCAUUCCCUAGAGUAACUCUCCCCACCGAGAACCAUAGUUUUAAGGUUUGAGAGUGUGCUGUUUAAAUAUAUAUACAGGAGUCUGACUUCCUGGAA